GGCUGUUUAACAGAUGUUGUUUGCAGUUGAACUAAUGUUAGUCCACCCUGAUCCUUUCGUUUCAGAGUGAAUUAUUUAAUCAUCUGAUAUGCCAAUAGCUCUGAAUAAUUCUGGCUAGAAUGUAUCAGAAAACUGCAAUGCAGGAAGAGAAAACUACUUUGAAUUCACCAUGUGGGAGAAUGGCCACUAUCUCUUCAAAAGAGGAAAGGCUGUUAAAUAGUGGGCCCCAAUGCCAUUAUGAUACAAUCCAUCUCCCCAGGAAAUAAGAAGUUCUGACAAGAUCUUUUACUAUAACAUGUAAAAACUUACUUAAGA
This 315-nucleotide long non-coding RNA is filed under the name Rhinopithecus bieti (black snub-nosed monkey). Its description in RNAcentral is "lncRNA (ENSRBIG00000046328.1)". Lineage: Eukaryota; Metazoa; Chordata; Mammalia; Primates; Cercopithecidae. The record is from RNAcentral.